This 3173-nucleotide long non-coding RNA is filed under the name Nicotiana tabacum (common tobacco). RNAcentral's name for it is "long non-coding RNA (NTAB_LNC006911)". Lineage: Eukaryota; Viridiplantae; Streptophyta; Magnoliopsida; Solanales; Solanaceae. The record is from RNAcentral.
UCCUUAUAAUGUUUUUAGGACAUGUGUAUGUUGGUCCCUAAAUAAAUACCUGAUCUUUUCUUGUCAUUUUUAAAAAUAUUAUUCCAACAUAGAUAAUUAAAUGCAGAAAGAAAAAACAGAACUCAUAGUUAUACCUUGGUUUCAUAUAUAUAAUUUAAAUUUAUAAUUAAUUACAAGAUAUAUUAACAUCUCACAAGUAACAAGGUAUAGCCAUGAUACAUACUUCACAGUACUGUUCAUACAAUCCUUGAGCAAAAAACAAAUAUUUGCCUAACUAUCUUAACAAAAUUAUCACCAAUUUGCGGAAUUGUAUGAAGCUUUCAAAACUUGCAUCUUGAUUGUAAACUCAAGUCUUCACACCUGUAGAAAGUAUAAAAUAGAUUCUCAUUAGAGAAACUAUCAUGAUAAGUUGGCGAAAUAGGUUAAAAAGAUUUUCUGUCAAAAUAAUUUAAAUCUAACAGAGAUUUAACAUCCCAAUUGAAAAAAAGUUCAAACUCAUUAAGUGCAAGCAUAUACAAGAACCAUACAUAUGUGUGUAUGCACGCAUUAGUACAAAUCAUUUCCGUAAUCAAAACUAAAUAGAUUCUUAACAGAUUUUGUUUUGAGAAAACACCAUACUCAACUUUUAAGCCCACAAUUUAGCUAGUUUACCAUCUCUUGUAUUCUAUUUGCAGAAGAUACUUAGGUGAAUGUAAUACUAGCCAAUAUUACACAGUUUGAGACUAUACAUCUGUAACGUACAACUGAAAUGAAUAACACUAGUAUAAUUAAUAAUACAUCUGAUAAUGAUCCUAAGUUUGUACAACUGUUAUAAUUAAAAUUACUUAGCACAUUGAUUCAUUUAACUGUUGCAUGUACAAGAAUCAUAAGAAAUGAAGCAGCAGCUGAGAGAAUUUCUGAGAACAAUAUAUCCAAAGUCAAACUCUGUUUAUUCACACAAAGCACUCUAUUUAUGAUCAGUAAUAGAUUUAAAGAUACUUUCAAGUGAAGGUAUCAUACCGUGACCAGCAAAUCUAACAAAUGUAGUACGAUCCAACCAUGUAAUAGUGGAAGGUAUUGGUAUUCCUUAACGAGCGAAUAUAGUAGAAUCUGAUUACUACCUCUUCUUUCUUCUAUUCUCCCUCUAUCCAAUAACUGUUACAAUAUAAAGAUUGUUCUGAGAAUUGUAAAAAUAAAUUUUAGGAAAAAAAAAAAGAACUUGUUCACGCUAUAAAGAGAAUAUAAUUUCUAAGGAGGCCUACACAAACAAGCAAGUCUACUUACAUAGUCAUACUUGAGUCGUUGCAAUAAUUACUUGAUAAAAUCUUCAUUAGAAGUUAUUGUUUCUUUUUUGUAUAUGUAAUUGGGCUUCACUACUAACUUAAGUCUGCACAUUUCUGUAAGAGAACAAUGCAGAUUUUAUGCAAAAAUCGCUAAAUGUCAGGUUCAUUAAUACUAGAUACUUAUAACUCCUUUCACUUUGUGUUUAACCUGUUAUUAAACAUUGAGAAUAAGUUGAAGAUAUAAAUACCAUGCCCAGCUUGCUGAAGGAAGAUGGCGGAGAUACUCAAGAAGCUCAAAGCUUUAUUAAUACAAUUGCAAUUACUAGUCAAGUAGAGAAAUGGACAAAUUGAUUCCUAGCUUCCAAUAGUCACAAAGAAGACUAUGAGCCGAUGACUAUUCUGAAGGUAAUAUUUGAUAGCCUCUCUUAGUUUUAGACCAUCUUAAUCAAUAUCAUAAACAAGUUUAACUUUCAUACUUCAUCCUCAACUAAUAGAAAACAAACAUUUGUUUUAUCUUGUUAACAAACAUUUGUUUUAUCUUGUUCGUCCCAUUUCUUUUGUUUCUUUUACUUCUCUAAUAACAAGAAAUAAAUAUUUCUUUUCACAAAAAGGUCCAGAUAGCAUAGCAUAGCAUAACCUAUUAUUAAAUAAAUCCGAAUUAAGUUAAACACAAACAAUUGAAAAGGUAAUUAUUCAAUGAUAUUUCUAUUGAUAUAUACAUAAACAUAUAUACUAGUUUACGAAGAAGGGUAAAUGAAUUCACCUUAUAGAACAUAGAGAUCCAUGCUUUUCAACUUAGAGAUAUCAUCAAAAAUAUUAAAAUUAGGAUGAUGAAUCACCAAGGAACUGAACAUCAAAACAUACAGAAUAUUUCACAUUCACUUUACUAAUUAGAUAACAUCAUGUUUUACGAUCCAUAGCAUGUCCUCUCAAAACCUUAAAGAUAAUAGUAUUUCAUAGCAAAAUUAACAAUGUUAACCAACCUCAAUCUAUCAAGAAUAAAUCUCAACAAAAUACAAAGAUACCCUCCAACAUGGUUACAGAAUGAAGGUUCACAUAAUGGAGGCAAUGUAGGGCACGCCUCAACCAAGUGACAAGCUAGUCCAGAAUUUUACUUCUCCAAGCCUCAAAGAUUUUUUCCAGAAAAAAGAAAGGUAUUUGCUUCCAGCCUCAAAGUUUGUCUACAUAUUGCUGCAAUCCUAAACUUACAAGUUCAUUAUUUUUUAUUACAAACAAAUUUAACCCUGAAUAAGUCGACAAAGCUAAGGGCCUUUAGUGAACCAACUUAUUGAUGUAUAGAUGCACUACACAAGCUCUAAUUUUUUUGAGUAAUGAUACAAUUAACAAAUUCUAACGUUUUGCUCAUACAAUAGAAAGUAAUGUCCCAUAAUCAUGAUGUUUAUAAUCUGUGAAGUGCAACUCUUCUCAAAUUCUAGAUAGAGAGAUCAGGCAAAUGAAUUAAAGCCUCGAUUUAGGAAAAGAAACAAAAAUACAAAACAAUCCCAAAACCAAAAUAAAUAAUCGAACCGAAGAACAACUGAAUAAAAUUGAAACUUUUAUGACCAACCUAUCUGUAAAAUAAACGGAAUAAACUGGAAACUUAGUUAAAAUGUAGGUUGAGUGAGUUAUCAAAGAGAAAAAGCUUCAUAAUUUUCACAACAACUAAGCAUAGACUACAACAAUCGGAAAAGAUUGAAAUAUGAAAAAAAUGGUGAUAGAAAUUGAGGAACUUACCGAAAAAGUCUAGCAUCUUUAGUUUUAACCAAGGACCAAGCUUCCAAACGAUAAGGGAAAACUCAAACUUGAAGAGUUGCGGUAGAAUUUUAGAGUGUUUCAAAGUUUCUAGGGUUUAAGAUCUGUAGAAAAGGGAUUUUUAGGUCUUAGCGUUUAGUGUUUUUAUUUAUUUGUUUC